GGGGUGAUAGCUUAGUGGUAGAGCUCAUGCUUAACAUGCAUGUGGUCUUGGGUUCAACCCCCAGUACCUCCA
This 72-nucleotide transfer RNA is filed under the name Camelus bactrianus (Bactrian camel). It matches the Rfam family "tRNA". Rfam says of the family: Transfer RNA (tRNA) molecules are approximately 80 nucleotides in length. The record is from Rfam by way of RNAcentral. Lineage: Eukaryota; Metazoa; Chordata; Mammalia; Artiodactyla; Camelidae. RNAcentral also lists the same sequence under 1 other name.